CGGGCCGGGGUUGCUUAUAAAUGCAAGUCGAGCGAACAGAUAAGGAGCUUGCUCCUUUGACGUUAUUCGGAGAAAAGGGUGAGUAACACGUGGAUAACCUACCUAUAAGACUGGGAUAACUUCGGGAAACCGGAGCUAAUACCGGAUAACAUAUUGAACCGCAUGGUUCAAUAGUGAAAGGCGGCUUUGCUGUCACUUAUAGAUGGAUCCGCGCCGUAUUAGCUAGUUGGUAAGGUAACGGCUUACCAAGGCAACGAUACGUAGCCGACCUGAGAGGGUGAUCGGCCACACUGGAACUGAGACACGGUCCAGACUCCUACGGGAGGCAGCAGUAGGGAAUCUUCCGCAAUGGGCGAAAGCCUGACGGAGCAACGCCGCGUGAGUGAUGAAGGUCUUCGGAUCGUAAAACUCUGUUAUCAGGGA
RNAcentral lists this ribosomal RNA (423 nucleotides) under Staphylococcus pasteuri. Its description in RNAcentral is "bacterial SSU rRNA". It matches the Rfam family "Bacterial small subunit ribosomal RNA", at positions 36 to 445 of the family's 1533-position model. The record is from RNAcentral. Lineage: Bacteria; Bacillati; Bacillota; Bacilli; Caryophanales; Staphylococcaceae.